CGUCCUAUUAGCUAGUUGGUGAGGUAAUGGCUCACCAAGGCUACGAUGGGUAGGGGUUCUUAGUGGAAGGUCCCCCACACUGGCACUGAGAUACGGGCCAGACUCCUACGGGAGGCAGCAGUAGGGAAUAUUGGUCAAUGGGCGCAAGCCUGAACCAGCCAUGCCGCGUGCAGGAUGAAGGCUCUCUGAGUUGUAAACUGCUUUUGUACAGGAGCAAAAAAAUCCCUGCGGGGGUUCUUGAGAGUACUGUAAGAAUAAGCACCGGCUAAUUCCGUGCCGGCAGCCGCGGUAAUACGGGAGGUGCAAGCGUUAUCCGGUUUUAUUGGGUUUAAAGGGUGCGUAGGCGGCUUAUUAAGUCAGUUGUGAAAUCCUAGUGCUUAACGCUAGAACUGCGAUUGAUACUAUU
RNAcentral lists this ribosomal RNA (406 nucleotides) under Candidatus Cardinium sp. RNAcentral describes it as "bacterial SSU rRNA". It matches the Rfam family "Bacterial small subunit ribosomal RNA", at positions 234 to 637 of the family's 1533-position model. Lineage: Bacteria; Pseudomonadati; Bacteroidota; Cytophagia; Cytophagales; Amoebophilaceae. The record is from RNAcentral.